Molecule: ribosomal RNA, 484 nt
Filed under: uncultured bacterium
Lineage: Bacteria
Description: partial 16S ribosomal RNA
Rfam family: Bacterial small subunit ribosomal RNA
Source: RNAcentral
AGUGAACGCUGGCGGCAGGCCUAACACAUGCAAGUCGAGCGGCAGCGGGUCCUUCGGGAUGCCGGCGAGCGGCGGACGGGUGAGGAAUACAUCGGAAUCUGCCCUGUCGUGGGGGAUAACCUAGGGAAACUUAGGCUAAUACCGCAUACGACCUACGGGUGAAAGCGGGGGAUCGCAAGACCUCGCGCGACAGGAUGAGCCGAUGUCCGAUUAGCUAGUUGGCGGGGUAAAGGCCCACCAAGGCGACGAUCGGUAGCUGGUCUGAGAGGAUGAUCAGCCACACUGGGACUGAGACACGGCCCAGACUCCUACGGGAGGCAGCAGUGGGGAAUAUUGGACAAUGGGCGCAAGCCUGAUCCAGCCAUGCCGCGUGGGUGAAGAAGGCCUUCGGGUUGUAAAGCCCUUUUGUCCGGGAAGAAAUCGUCUGGGCUAGUACCCCGGGCGGAUGACGGUACCGGAAGAAUAAGCACCGGCUAACUUCGUG